UUUCCGUAGGUGAACCUGCGGAAGGAUCAUUCAUAAUAAAGUGUUAUAUGGCACUUUUUUAAUCUCCAUAUCCACCUUGUGUGCAAUGUUAGAUCUAGUCAAUCUUGGCGAGAGUUUUAUACAUCAACUCAUUCUUAAACUUAUUUGUCUGAAAAAUAUUAUGAAUAUUUAUUUCAAAGUACAACUUUCAACAACGGAUCUCUUGGCUCUC
RNAcentral lists this unclassified non-coding RNA (211 nucleotides) under plant metagenome. RNAcentral describes it as "partial contains small subunit ribosomal RNA, internal transcribed spacer 1, and 5.8S ribosomal RNA". The record is from RNAcentral.